CCUACGGGUGGCUGCAGUGGGGAAUAUUGGACAAUGGGCGAAAGCCUGAUCCAGCCAUGCCGCGUGUGUGAAGAAGGCCUUCGGGUUGUAAAGCACUUUCAGUGGGGAAGAAAGCCUUGGGGCUAAUACCCUCGAGGAAGGACAUCACCCACAGAAGAAGCACCGGCUAACUCCGUGCCAGCAGCCGCGGUAAUACGGAGGGUGCGAGCGUUAAUCGGAAUUACUGGGCGUAAAGCGCGCGUAGGCGGUCUGAUAAGCCGGUUGUGAAAGCCCCGGGCUCAACCUGGGAACGGCAUCCGGAACUGUCAGGCUAGAGUGCAGGAGAGGAAGGGAGAAUUCCCGGUGUAGCGGUGAAAUGCGUAGAGGUCGGGAGGAAUACCAGUGGCGAAGGCGGCCUUCUGGACUUACACUGACGCUGAGGUGCGAAAGCGUGGGUAGCAAACAGGAUUAGAGACCCGGGUAGUC
RNAcentral lists this ribosomal RNA (465 nucleotides) under Vreelandella stevensii. RNAcentral describes it as "partial 16S ribosomal RNA". It matches the Rfam family "Bacterial small subunit ribosomal RNA", at positions 338 to 795 of the family's 1533-position model. Lineage: Bacteria; Pseudomonadati; Pseudomonadota; Gammaproteobacteria; Oceanospirillales; Halomonadaceae. The record is from RNAcentral.